UACGUAGGGGCGAGCGUUGUCCGGAGUACUGGGCGUAAAGCGCACGCAGGCGGUCUGCUAAGUUUGGAGUGACAGUUGGUGGCUUAACUGCCAAAGUGCUUCGAAACUGACAGACUUGAGGCUUCGAGAGGGACACGGAAUUCCGGGUGGAGUGGUGAAAUGCGUAGAGAUCCGGAGGAACACCAAAGGCGAAGGCAGUGUCCUGGGGAGU
Molecule: ribosomal RNA, 211 nt
Filed under: uncultured bacterium
Lineage: Bacteria
Description: partial 16S ribosomal RNA
Rfam family: Bacterial small subunit ribosomal RNA
Source: RNAcentral